Lotus japonicus is the source of this 4303-nucleotide long non-coding RNA. RefSeq lists it as uncharacterized. The transcript has 3 exons. Lineage: Eukaryota; Viridiplantae; Streptophyta; Magnoliopsida; Fabales; Fabaceae. The record is from RefSeq and is a predicted model, not a curated record.
CAUUCUCACAUUAGUUUCCAUCAUUCUCUCAAGAAGAAGCUAAUUAAACACUCACCACUGCCUUAUAUAUAUCAUGAAAGUGAAACUCAAGAAAGAGCUGGUAGAGGUGAAGAUUCAACGCCGAUUAUCCAAGCCUUGUGGGUCUCUUUACAUGGUGGUGGACCGACAGGAACAACUUUGGAGGAGCAAUUCAUUACUGGAUACAAAUACUCGUGACCUAAAAUUUAGACACAACUAAUUCAAAACAUCAAACUCAUGAAAUUACAAUAAAAAUACAUAAACUGGAAAUUAAUCGGUAAAGAAUAGAAGAAUUAUCAAGUGACUUUCAUUUUUCUCUUUAAUUUUUUUUUUCCUUUUCACUUUUCAUCUAACCUCCCUAUUUCCUUAUCCCCGUUUAGCUAACAAGAAUCCAUCUCCACAUUUCAAUUUUACAAAGUGUUAUCUCGAUCUCACCCAUUUUCUCUAUCGCUUUCUUUUCAAUAUUUUCACCAUAGAUUCUCGUUCCAUAACCAACCCCUAAUAACAGCAUCAGUCCUACAUCAUUUGAUGUAGAGGCUGCAUAGAAAGCGGAACCCAGCUCAAUCAGAAAGAUGAUAGCGGUGGCAUCCAUCACCAUCGGGAUUUAGUUUGGAUGGGCACUACAACUCUCCCUAUUGACGUCUUAAACUCAGCUGAUCGAGGUCUCGUUCAAGUGGUCACCCUUCAUCUAGCUCUGCAGACCCAUCUUUGAGUUGGUCGUGGGCUCGCAAAGCUAGAUGCUGACGAGGACACUUGUACGAGACGUCGAUCAGCUGGAUGUAAGGCGUCAGCAGCGAUAGCUGCAGUGCCCAUCCAAACUGAAUACCGAUGGUGAUUGAGGCGACGGCUAUCAUCUUUUAGAUUGAGUUGCGCUCUGCUUUUUGUGUAGUCUCUACAUGAAAUGAUGUGGGAAGAAAUGUUGUAAUCAUGGGAGGUGUGGAAGUGGAAGGAGAAUCCAUGGGAAAAUAUUGAAAAGAAAGAGAUAGAGAAAGUGGUGAUAGAGAAAACUUUGUGAAAGUGGUAAGUGGAGAUGAAUUCUUGGUAGUUGCUGGAACGGAUGGAAGAUGAAAAGUGAAAAGGAACAAAAAUUAAAGAGAAAAUAAAAAGUCAUGUGAUCCUUCUACCACUAUAAGAAUAUAUUGUUUAAGCAUCUUAAUUAAUUUAGCGUCGGCUACAACAUCAACGCUAAAUUUGAUCUGUUAGCGUCGGCCAAUCAUAUUCGAAGCUGACAAAGCGACAAACAAAAACCCACUUUAAUUUAGUGUUAGCGUAACCGACGCUACUUUGCGUCUUCUUAGUAGCCCCCUAGCGUCGGUUUAGGCAAACAGUAAUAUCACUAGCCAUUGUAGCAUCUGCCCGCAGACAAAAAGCGACGACUAACGGCAGACGGUACAUUCACCUGCCAACAUAGCAUCAACUUUAACUGAUGCUAAUUACAUGUGGAUGCGACCCUUUUGAUGGUUGAGAACAAUAUUUCACUCUUUCACCUUCUUUCGGGAUUCUCCCUGCGCCGCCGCCCCUUUCCCAUCUCAGCUGCCCCUCCCACUUACCUGACGCAAGUGACAAACAAAAAGACACUUUAAUUUAGAGGCGGCUUAACCGACGCUACUUUGCAUUAUCUUAGUAGCCCGACCCUAGCUUCCGUUUAGGCAAACACUAAUAUCACCCGCCAUUGUAGCAUCCGCCUGCAGUGAAGGUCUCGAACCCGCUUCACUAUUUCUCAGAUUUGUCUAGAAUUAAGGUUUGGUACCAUAAAAGUUGGACACCCCUCUUAGCCUAUCGAAAUCUGCAAUUGGAACAAACACUGGUUUGUCUUCAGCAGAAGGGGCAUGUGGUUCUUCUUUGGGGUGACUUGCAUUCUGUGUUUGGUUUUGGAACAGUGGGCUUUCGAAGCCACAAUUGAUUUAUCCUAGUAUCUUGUGUGAGUCAUGUUGGGUUUUCUUAUGUAAACCAGUAUUUUAAUUUCUUUUUGUUUUAUAAUAUUAUAUUGAGUUGGGGAACCCUUGUGCAGCCCAUUAAUUAAUUUGGCUUAUCAAAAAAUAAAGUUGGGGAACCCUUGUGCAGCCCAAUCUUCAAGCCUCCAUGAAGUUGGUGUUGCUAUUCCGCCAUGCUCUUCCUCACCUCCAUCGAGUGCACAAGUUGCUCUGUGCAAUAAAAUAGAAGGGUUUUUUUUACGUUGCUCCGAUAUCCUUUCAAAAUGGGAGAGUUUGUAACCCUUCAAGUCAUUAUUUAAGAGCAUAAAAACUAAAUUACAAAUUUUAAAAUUUUAUUAUAAGAAAUCAUGGCAACUUAAGCCUCUAGGGUAUGAAACCCCUUCCAGAAAAUUUGCUUUUAUUUAUAUUACCAAGGUAUCUCACAAUCGGCAAUCAUGCAACUAAUCCUCUCGAGGCUCGGAGAUCACGAUAAGUUGAUAGGUCUCUCCCAACAAAUCCUAAUGAUAUUUAAUUAAUAUACAUACAGCAGACAACACAUAGGUGAUAUGAGUUUGAUACAUCAACCAAGUAAAUCUUGACGAAUUGAUAAUUUCAGCUAGAGUUAGACCAACAUAAUAUCUAAAAGAUUUCAGGUGCAACAAUUCAUGUUAUGUAGGGUAUAUAAAGGUGCAUUUAAAUUGUUACAGGGUCGUUGAUCACACCCAAGAAAUCAUCUUUAAUGGUACCUAUGCAGAACUGCAAAAGAAAAACAGGGGUAAGGCACAAUAUUAGAUAAAUGAGCUCCAGAAGACACUUGGAGCCUAAAAAUCGAUAAAUAUACCAUAUCCAAAGAACAAAGGCAAAGCAAUUUAAAAGACCAUUACUUGUGCAUUAGUACUAUAAAGCAUGUACAUCAGUAUCAAAACUCAUCAGGAAUUAGUACAAAAACCAGUGUCAUAUGCUUGCUAAAAUUGCCACUAGACUACAAGGCCAUUGGCAUCACGAGUUAUUGAAGACAUCUUCACACAGCAUAGAAUAUAAUCAUGGCAGGAACAAAAAUCAGACACGUGACACCAAAAAGGUGCUCUACUUAUUUUAUCAUAAUUUUCUCAGUGCAUCCAGUAAUUUGAGAAAUUUGGAGGAACUAGCAUAAACUAAAAGACUCUUUAAUGAAGAACUUAUGCAAAGAGAUCUGCAGAGAAAAAAGCUAUAUAUGCUAUAAACAUCUUUCAUACCCUAUAAAUUUGAAGUUUCAAAGAAGUAUUUAGCAUAAAGCUAAUGGGUCUUAACAGCAUUCAUGAAGCAAAGUAAAAGAUGUAUAUAUAUAUAUAUAUAUAUUAUAAAAUUAUGUAUUUCGAUAAAUGAAAAAAUAUUAAAAUAAAUAUUUUUUGACAACACAAUUAAUGUUUAUUACAAACUCAAAAAGUUGAUAAAAUAUUUUUUAAUAUGUAAGUCAAAAGUUGACACUUGAGUUUAGCAUGUGUGUUUUACAUGUAUAGAAGAUACUACUGACUACUGUAGAUGGCAGAUAGAUAGAUUUAUUUAUAGAAGAUAGAUGCAUUUAAAAACAAAUAAAAAAUAGAUAGAUAUUUACCAAAAAUCAUUAAAACAGAACGAUUUCCAAAAUUAUUCAUUAAGUGGUUCGAAUUAAUACAUUAUUUUCAAUUUGAAAAGGCUUGGCAUGAAAAAUCACGCCCAUGCGUGUUGAAAACGGAAACACACUUUCAGUCCAAGGGUCAUCAAUCAUAGUUGUCUUCAUUUUGACUAUAAAAAGACCUCUUUCGGCCAAAAUAGGUAACCACAUUCACAACAAACCCUAAACCUUAUCUUUCUCAUUACUGUGUAAAAUACACCACUUGAAACACCAUGCAAAGUGGCUCAGUCUGGGCAUACAACGACAGGCAAUUCGCUAUCGUGUGGAAAAGAGAAGAGCAAACCAUUUUCUUCAUACCGAAGAACUUUUGAAAUCAAUGGGGUGACGAGAUUCGUCCUGAAGUUGUUAUAUCAGACCCUGCCGGAAACUGCUUUGAGUGCGUAAUCAAACGAACGGUUAGGCAUAUUUCUGGGUGGACUUCGCAAUGAAGGUGAUUCGCCGCUACCAAAUUAACCGUCCUGUUCGAAUGCAUUUCGAGCUGAUCAACGGCGGCCAAUUACUCAUGAGAAUCACGAUUCACGGCGAAGGGGAGAUCUCGUACCCCAUCGUCAAAAGUUGGCCGCUGCUGUCUUAGGAAUCACCCAUGAGCAUGUUUUAAGGCCCCCUUUUUUUUUUCCUUUAGUGUUUGUAUGUCCCAUCUCAUCUUCUUCCUUCACACAUCAAUGAAAUGUGAUUUUUCUCCGUCAGAUCAGUGUGAAAAAUCCAAGAUUGCUGUUUA